This 373-nucleotide ribosomal RNA is filed under the name uncultured bacterium. Its description in RNAcentral is "bacterial SSU rRNA". It matches the Rfam family "Bacterial small subunit ribosomal RNA", at positions 29 to 430 of the family's 1533-position model. The record is from RNAcentral.
AACGAACGCUGGCGGCAUGCCUAACACAUGCAAGUCGAACGAUGGCUUCGGCCAUAGUGGCGCACGGGUGAGUAGCGCGUGGGAACCUGCCCUUUGGUACGGAAUAACCGCGGGAAACUGCGGCUAAUACCGGAUAAGCCCUACGGGGGAAAGAUUUAUCGCCGAAGGAGGGGCCCGCGUCCGAUUAGGUAGUUGGUGGGGUAACGGCCUACCAAGCCUUCGAUCGGUAGCUGGUCUGAGAGGAUGAUCAGCCACACUGGGACUGAGACACGGCCCAGACUCCUACGGGAGGCAGCAGUGGGGAAUCUUGGUCAAUGGGCGCAAGCCUGAACCAGCGAUGCCGCGUGAGUGAUGAAGGCCUUCGGUUGUAAGU